GGGAGCUUGCUCCUUGAUUCAGCGGCGGACGGGUGAGUAAUGCCUAGGAAUCUGCCUGGUAGUGGGGGACAACGUUUCGAAAGGAACGCUAAUACCGCAUACGUCCUACGGGAGAAAGCAGGGGACCUUCGGGCCUUGCGCUAUCAGAUGAGCCUAGGUCGGAUUAGCUAGUUGGUGGGGUAAUGGCUCACCAAGGCGACGAUCCGUAACUGGUCUGAGAGGAUGAUCAGUCACACUGGAACUGAGACACGGUCCAGACUCCUACGGGAGGCAGCAGUGGGGAAUAUUGGACAAUGGGCGAAAGCCUGAUCCAGCCAUGCCGCGUGUGUGAAGAAGGUCUUCGGAUUGUAAAGCACUUUAAGUUGGGAGGAAGGGCAGUAAGCUAAUACCUUGCUGUUUUGACGUUACCGACAGAAUAAGCACCGGCUAACUCUGUGCCAGCAGCCGCGGUAAUACAGAG
RNAcentral lists this ribosomal RNA (460 nucleotides) under Pseudomonas plecoglossicida. RNAcentral describes it as "bacterial SSU rRNA". It matches the Rfam family "Bacterial small subunit ribosomal RNA", at positions 74 to 530 of the family's 1533-position model. The record is from RNAcentral. Lineage: Bacteria; Pseudomonadati; Pseudomonadota; Gammaproteobacteria; Pseudomonadales; Pseudomonadaceae.